CCCGCUGAACUUAAGCAUAUCAAUAAGCGGAGGAAAAGAACCCAACAGGGAUUGCCCCAGUAACGGCGAGUGAAGCGGCAACAGCUCAAAUUUGAAAUCUGGCCCCAGGCCCGAGUUGUAAUUUGCAGAGGAUGCUUUUGGCGCGGUGCCUUUCCGAGUUCCCUGGAACGGGACGCCAUAGAGGGUGAGAGCCCCGUACGGUUGGACACCAAGCCUUUGUAAAGCUCCUUCGACGAGUCGAGUAGUUUGGGAAUGCUGCUCUAAAUGGGAGGUACAUUUCUUCUAAAGCUAAAUAUUGGCCAGAGACCGAUAGCGCACAAGUAGAGUGAUCGAAAGAUGAAAAGCACUUUGAAAAGAGGGUUAAACAGCACGUGAAAUUGUUAAAAGGGAAGCGCUUGUGACCAGACUUGCGUCCGGUGAAUCACCCAGCUCUCGCGGCUGGGGCACUUCGCCGGCACAGGCCAGCAUCAGCUUGCCGUCGGGGACAAAAGCUUCAGGAACGUGGCUCCUCUCGGGGAGUGUUAUAGCCUGUUGCAUAAUACCCUUCGGCGGGCUGAGGUACGCGCUCCGCAAGGAUGCUGGCGUAAUGGUCAUCAGCGACCCGUCUUGAAACACGGACCAAGGAGUCAACCUUAUGUGCGAGUGUUUGGGUGUUAAACCCCUACGCGUAAUGAAAGUGAACGCAGGUGAGAGCUUCGGCGCAUCAUCGACCGAUCCUGAUGUUCUCGGAUGGAUUUGAGUAAGAGCAUAUAGGGUUGGACCCGAAAGAAGGUGAACUAUGCGUGUGUAGGGUGAAGCCAGAGGAAACUCUGGUGGAGGCUCGCAGCGGUUCUGACGUGCAAAUCGA
This 847-nucleotide ribosomal RNA is filed under the name Colletotrichum acutatum. RNAcentral describes it as "LSU rRNA". It matches the Rfam family "Eukaryotic large subunit ribosomal RNA", at positions 24 to 901 of the family's 3401-position model. The record is from RNAcentral. Lineage: Eukaryota; Fungi; Ascomycota; Sordariomycetes; Glomerellales; Glomerellaceae.